CCGUGUAUUACGAAUAUAGAUUAAGUUUCCAAAAGCUACAACGCUUGUGCAAUGCAAAACAAUGCAAACUCGAUACACGAGCUAAACUUGGCACCGCUGAAAGUACUCUAAAAAUACACGUGGAAUGUUGGCCUAACCGGAAGGUAGAGUUCAAUUAUUUUCAACCGCUCGAUUAUCCUGUAGCUUGCGACGAAAAAUUAUACUAUGAUUUGCUGCUUUGUAUAGAAACAAAAGAGAUGAAUAAAAUGAUCUUUGUCGUUGUUAUACAUAAUCGAGAAGCUCAGUGUACAAGGGACACACUGCUCUCGUCGAACGUGCUCCAAAGAGAUUCAUGACUGGGCGACGUGGAUGUCUCUUGGGAGCUUCUAUCGUUCGAGUCCUCCGAGCUGCAUACCAAGUCCUUCUUCCUCGGAUCUUUAUCGCAAAAAUUUUUCCUUUUGAACGAAGCGCUCGAUUCAGACGUGUCCUCGGAAUGCUCGUAAGAACAGCGUAAUGAGCCUAUUUUAAUCUUCCGAUUUUAAUGUCGUUAUUAUUAAUUGACAGCAGGUUGGAAAGUAGAACAACCUGUUGGACGCAAAGACUAUAAAAUACUAAACAUUAAGUUCAGGAAGCUGCGUAAAAAAGAACAAUCAAAAGCGUUUCAAAUUAACGAUCUUUAAUACGCAGCUAAGCACGUUAUAGUUAAUUGGAAUUGAAACAAUAUGACCAGAA
This 711-nucleotide unclassified non-coding RNA is filed under the name Bombus terrestris (buff-tailed bumblebee). RNAcentral's name for it is "misc RNA ENSBTSG00005019839.1". Lineage: Eukaryota; Metazoa; Arthropoda; Insecta; Hymenoptera; Apidae. The record is from RNAcentral.